GAUGAACGCUGGCGGCGUGCCUAAUACAUGCAAGUCGAGCGAACAGAUGAGGAGCUUGCUCCUCUGACGUUAGCGGCGGACGGGUGAGUAACACGUGGAUAACCUACCUAUAAGACUGGGAUAACUUCGGGAAACCGGAGCUAAUACCGGGUAAUAUAUUGAACCGCAUGGUUCAAUAGUGAAAGACGGUUUUGCUGUCACUUAUAGAUGGAUCCGCGCCGCAUUAGCUAGUUGGUAAGGUAACGGCUUGCCAAGGCAACGAUGCGUAGCCGACCUGAGAGGGUGAUCGGCCACACUGGAACUGAGACACGGUCCAGACUCCUACGGGAGGCAGCAGUAGGGAAUCUUCCGCAAAGGGCGAAAGCCUGACGGAGCAACGCCGCGUGAGUGAUGAAGGUCUUCGGAUCGUAAAACUCUGUUAUUAGGGAAGAACAAAUGUGUAAGUAACUAUGCACGUCUUGACGGUACCUAAUCAGAAAGCCACGGCUAACUACGUG
Molecule: ribosomal RNA, 497 nt
Filed under: uncultured bacterium
Lineage: Bacteria
Description: partial 16S ribosomal RNA
Rfam family: Bacterial small subunit ribosomal RNA
Source: RNAcentral